UGUGGGAGCGGGCUUGCUCGCGAUGGCGUCAGGUCAACCAGCAUUGAUGUCGACUGGCACAACGCUUUCGCGAGCAAGCUCGCUCCCACA
Molecule: non-coding RNA, 90 nt
Filed under: Pseudomonas fluorescens
Lineage: Bacteria; Pseudomonadati; Pseudomonadota; Gammaproteobacteria; Pseudomonadales; Pseudomonadaceae
Source: RNAcentral